Molecule: ribosomal RNA, 497 nt
Filed under: uncultured bacterium
Lineage: Bacteria
Description: partial 16S ribosomal RNA
Rfam family: Bacterial small subunit ribosomal RNA
Source: RNAcentral
GAUGAACGCUGGCGGCGUGCCUAAUACAUGCAAGUCGAGCGAACGGACGAGAAGCUUGCUUCUCUGAUGUUAGCUGCGGACGGGUGAGUAACACGUGGAUAACCUACCUAUAAGACUGGGAUAACUUCGGGAAACCGGAGCUAAUACCGGAUAAUAUUUUGAACCGCAUGGUUCAAAAGUGAAAGAAGGUCUUGCUCUCACUUAUAGAUGGAUCCGCGCUGCAGUAGCUAGUUGGUAAGGUAACGGCUUACCAAGGCAACGAUGCAUAGCCGACCUGAGAGGGUGAUCGCCAAUACUGGAACUAAGACACGGUCCAGACUCCUACGGAAGGCAGCAGUAGGGAAUCGUCCGCAAUGGGCGAAAGCCUGACGGAGCAACGCCGCGUGAGUGAUGAAGGUCUUCGGAUCGUAAAACUCUGUUAUUCGGGAAGAACAUAUGUGUAAGUAAAUGUGCACAUCUUGACGGUACCUAGUCAGAAAGCCACGGCUAACUACGUG